Long non-coding RNA from Danio aesculapii, 1153 nucleotides. RefSeq lists it as uncharacterized. The transcript is spliced from 2 exons. The record is from RefSeq and is a predicted model, not a curated record. NCBI's taxonomy places the organism in Eukaryota, Metazoa, Chordata, Actinopteri, Cypriniformes, Danionidae.
UCUAUCCUGAGUCGGAUCUGCUCAGUCGAAAGAGAUGGAGGCACAGCCAAAUUCUCAGUGACCACUUUUGGAAACAUUUUGUGCAUGACUUCCUGCCUACAUUACAACCGCGUCAAAAGUGGAAACAAGAAAGAGAUAACAUCACAGUUGGAACUGUAGUCCUCAUAGCUGACGAGCAAUUACCCAGAGCACUUUGGCGUGUUGGUACUGUUUCAUCAAUCAUUCCUAGUCCUGAUGGUAGAGUUAGAACAGCUGUCAUUAAGGUGAAGGAACACACCUACACUCGACCAGUUGCCAAAUUAAUCAGACUACCCGCUUUACCACAAGAUACAGAUGUCAUACAGUAAAUAUGCUGUUAGCAAAUUUGACUACCAAAUUUGGGGGCGGCUGUAAAAAAGCCAUUGCUCAGUUUAUGUACAUUUAAAAUAGGUUUUGUAUGACGAUUAUUUCAUCUCUCAUUUAGAAGGAAAGGUGUGGCAUAUUUAGUGAGUCGCGCCACCGCGAAUCAGUUCAGUUAGGAAUCAACCAAAUCAAGCAAGCGUUCGCGAAUCAGUUCAGUUCAGUUCAAAUCAACCGAAUGAUAAAAACGAAAGUGAAUCCGUUCAGAAAGGCGAUGUGAAAAGCAGAGGUCCUACAAUCUCAUCUUUAACGGCGUAAAACAGUAAAUUAUCUACUCGUUCUGUAGCACCUUCACUUUGUGAACUGCAGAAGGGUGUAUGAUCAUCUGGAUUGACAGCGGAUGGGUUUUAAUAACGCUUAUAGACGGUGCCGAAGUCUCGCUCGUGACGAUCCUUGCAAGUGCGUCAAUGAAGAAAAACCACAUGUGCAAGAGUUGUAUGAAGCAGCAUCAUAACUAUUCAGCAACAUCCAGUACUGGCUGAAAUUCCUGCCCUUCUCAUCGCGGGAGGAUUCAUUGUGCACCAACGGCCCUGAGACUGUAGCUAAAAGACUAGCUUCAUUCGACCUUUUAUAAUAGUUUUCUUUACUAUUGAUUAGUAAGCAAUCAGCAUUAUUCUGUACAUCCUAUUGUGAACCUUUAUUUCAUUAUUAGUUGCGCAGGCCUACGCUUUUUUGAUGUAUGUUUUUGUUUCAUUUAAAUAAUAUUGUUAUUUGAGGAUUAAUAUAUUCUAUUUGAGUAAACACCUACAAUUUA